RNAcentral lists this ribosomal RNA (423 nucleotides) under Thalassiosira antarctica. RNAcentral's name for it is "partial Bacterial small subunit ribosomal RNA". It matches the Rfam family "Bacterial small subunit ribosomal RNA", at positions 1128 to 1528 of the family's 1533-position model. Lineage: Eukaryota; Bacillariophyta; Thalassiosirophyceae; Thalassiosirales; Thalassiosiraceae. The record is from RNAcentral.
AAAGAUUGUGCUUUAAAAAGACUGUGAAGCCGAAAAUAAAAUUUCAAAGGAAGGUGAGAAUUAAGUCAAGUCACUGUGGCCCUUAUGGGUUGGGCUACACACGUGCUACAAUGAAAAUGACAGGAAGUAACAAAAAUAAAAACUUUUAGUUAAUCUUUAAAAAUUUUCUUAGUUCGAAUUGUAAACUGCAACUCGUUUACAUGAAGGUGGAAUCACAAGUAAUCGCAAAUCAGAACGUUGCGGUGAAUACGUACCUUGGCUUUGUACACACCGCCCGUCACAUGCAGAAAGCUAGUUUUACUUGAAAAUUAAACUCUCUUUUUAUUUUUUUUGAAAAAUAAAAAAGUUAGUUCAUUGAAAAAUUAGCAAUUUGGAUGAAGUCGUAACAAGGUAGCUGUAAGGGAACUUGUAGCUGGAACAGCU